This 315-nucleotide ribosomal RNA is filed under the name uncultured bacterium. RNAcentral describes it as "bacterial SSU rRNA". It matches the Rfam family "Bacterial small subunit ribosomal RNA", at positions 8 to 334 of the family's 1533-position model. The record is from RNAcentral.
AGGGUUCGAUUCUGGCUCAGGAUGAACGCUGACAGAAUGCUUAACACAUGCAAGUCAACUUGAACUUCGGUUUGGGUGGCGGACGGGUGAGUAACGCGUAAAGAACUUGCCUCACAGAUAGGGACAACAUUUGGAAACGAAUGCUAAUACCUGAUAUUAUGAUUUUAGGGCAUCCUAGAAUUAUGAAAGCUAUAUGCGCUGUGAGAGAGCUUUGCGUCCCAUUAGCUAGUUGGAGAGGUAACGGCUCACCAAGGCGAUGAUGGGUAGCCGGCCUGAGAGGGUGAUCGGCCACAAGGGGACUGAGACACGGCCCUU